AUACGGAGGGUCCAAGCGUUAUCCGGAAUCAUUGGGUUUAAAGGGUCCGCAGGCGGUCAAUUAAGUCAGAGGUGAAAGCCCAUCGCUCAACGAUGGAACUGCCUUUGAUACUGGUUGACUUGAGUUAUACGGAAGUAGGUAGAAUAAGUAGUGUAGCGGUGAAAUGCAUAGAUAUUACUUAGAAUACCGAUUGCGAAGGCAGUCUACUACGUAUAUACUGACGCUGAGGGACGAAAGCGUGGGGAGCGAACAGGAUUAGAAACCCGAGUAGUCC
RNAcentral lists this ribosomal RNA (274 nucleotides) under uncultured bacterium. RNAcentral describes it as "partial 16S ribosomal RNA". It matches the Rfam family "Bacterial small subunit ribosomal RNA", at positions 523 to 796 of the family's 1533-position model. The record is from RNAcentral.